Alligator sinensis (Chinese alligator) is the source of this 4625-nucleotide long non-coding RNA. RefSeq lists it as uncharacterized. The record is from RefSeq and is a predicted model, not a curated record. The transcript is spliced from 3 exons. NCBI's taxonomy places the organism in Eukaryota, Metazoa, Chordata, Crocodylia, Alligatoridae.
ACCCGGCGGGGACGAGGCGGGCGCGAGUUACCUGGCGGCAGCGGCAGCGCGGGCGGAGACUCCGGCUCUUUUGUUCCUCAGCGGCCAAAAUGGCGGCGCCGAGCGGGGCGCCCCCUCCCCCCACCCGGCCGCAGAUCUCCUGGACUCUCAGACUGCGAGGAUGAAUUCAGAAGCCUGCUGCCCUUUAUACUGAACUCCCACUCACUCCCCGAGUCCUCUGUGCUCACUCUGUCUGGGGCCUCUCUCCUCUGUCACGUGGUAAAGCAAAACUAGUCUCCCGAGGAAAUUGUGCCUUUUAUGUUUGAGCUGAGAAGCACAAACAGAUCUAGGGACUUUCCCCUGGGCAGGCUGAGUCAGGGGCCGUGCCCGUACUGAAACUCAGCUGACAUUUACUGACAUUCACCAUAAGAACAGACAUUUGAGUCGCAUCCACUUCCCACAAGUCAGUGCAAACAGGGAACUGGAGAUUCUUCGGCAUCCCAAGGCCUCUCUGCAAACACUGCACUCAAGGAGUCCCUGGGUCAGAAGAGGCCUCCAAGUGAACUCCAGACCUGCCUCUAACCAGCUGGAAGAUUGAGGAUUUAGCAGAGCAUCUAGGGCCACAUUUCCUACAGCCUCUCAGCACAGACUAGGACUUACAAAGGCACAGCAGCAGAUUUCACAUUUAACUCCUAUUGAAUUCAAUGGGGCUGAGUGCAUGUUUUUCAUAAGGGCAGCGCUUUCUGGCUGGAGACGCUAUUGAGCACGCCGGUUCCACCCAUCCUGCAGGCACACCCAACACCCAGAAACAUGCUGGCAAGGUCACAGUGGAGAUGGAGGCUUUCAGAGUGACUGCAGAGUAACACCCCAAGAACCUCACUGACAGAUCCACGGGGCAUGGCACCAGGAAGUUGCAAUCAGCUCUGGAGACGGCUGCAGCAGCCAUUCGAGUGCAGCACUGCAGAUUACAGCGCAUCUCGUGAGGAUGGUGCUGUAGCAGGUACAGGAAGCAUUCUGGCCAAGGACACCAGAGGGAAAGCCCAGAUCUUUCCGAAAGUGCCCUGGAAUCUUAUUAUCCAGGCACACUAGGCAGGAGCUUGGCUUCCCUCUAAUCUCCUGCAUAUCCCCUCAAGAAGGAAUGCCAUCUGGUGCGGUGUCCAACAGGCCUUCAUCCCAGCCCAGCGCUGCAGCAGCAUUGGCAGUCUGAAACCAUGCACCAGAUCUCACGCUGCUGUUUAGGAGUAUGUAGAAGCCCAUCAAAAAGCCCUUUUGCGGGUGUAUUCAGGGCCUUUGCAUUGCGUUGCAGGUGCAGCUACUCCACACUCACAGAAGUAGGCCACAAGAGGAGUAAACCCACUCCUCCCAUGUUCUCUGGCUCCCCAGAGGCUAAAUGAAGCAGCUUCAGUUUUUAUGCCCCUGCCACUGAAGCAGUGAAACAGCAUGUUGUGAACAUAUGGCCAGGGGAACAGAGUGGCCCCCGACAUGGUGAGUUAUUGCUCUGUCUGCUCUAGAGGACAGAAAUGUCAUGUGCCUGCACCUCACAUGCUCUCUGCAACACAGAUGACUUUGCCGGCCCCUACCCCAUGCUGGAACUGCUCUGAUGACCCCUGCUGCUAGGCUUCACCUCAGUGGACAGGGAGGAGCUGGAACACCAUGAUAAUGGGCAUGUAACGAGCACCUAAAGAUGAAACACAGAGGGGUGAGUGCUGUGCUCACUCUCCAGACUAGGGGCAUUUCAAGGAGUUGGGCAUCUCUCCCAGGCAUCUCUCAAGGGCUCUAGGAGAAAAAUGCUCCCUCAUGGUCAGAGGUGUCAUGCUGAUAGAUGCCUGGCCAAGCUUUUUCUAGGUCUCCUACGAACUGCAUCACCGAGUGCUCUUGGGCAUUAUCAUUCAGUUGCUUCAGGAUGUUCUGAUCCUCCUCUGCCUGCCUGGAUGUGAUUAUCAGCCAGGAACACCUGGUCCCUGGUAGCAGCUGGCAAAGUCCUAGGACAAGGGACCUGAGUCAUCCAUUACCUGCAAUAAAGACAAUAGAUCAGAAGAAGAGCAUUGUUGGGGCGAUCCCACAAUCCUCUGCUGCACUGAUUACGUAGAUAGCCCUUGUUAAUAGGACCGUGCUAGCAACAGCGCAUUUAUGAUAGCAACCAUGGGGCACUGAGGUGACCACUGCCCUGACAUAUAAAUAUCCCUGCUGUUUCUGAUGGAGAAGCCACCAACCACACACAGAACAGGACCAAGGGACAUACAUCUCUCUGAUGUCAAGCUGCCUAGGCUGCCAGUGCAAAGGGCUUCAUGGGUGGGCACAUGACUGCAGGUCUGGAAAUGUAAAUGCAGUCAAUCCAUGCAGUGGAGAAGACCAUCUCUGGAGAGAUCCAUGGAGCCAGGGACCGGGUGGUUUGGGCUGAAAAUUAGUCAAUCCACUAGCUCUUAAAGAUUCAAAAUGUUGGGCUAAGAGACAGCACUGGCCACGAUGGUGCCAGCUUCUCCAGCCCCCCUGACCUUGCUCAGGCCCAGGCUGCCCUCCCAUGCCCUUGCUCUGCAGAGACCUCACAGUCCCAGCUCAUAGCACCCACAGUUCUUCCGCUUCCUGCCCUAUCAUGCACAUGUUCCCACCCAGGCUGGGGAGCUGUACGGCCUGAUGAAGAGGAUGUUAUUUUCCCCCUGUGAUAGCUGGCUGGCUUUGAAAUAUUGAAGAAUCCCCAGCCCUGAACAGACAUUUGUGUGCCUCUGUGCCUGGUUUGAACAGAUGCCCAAGAAUCUCAUGUUGGGUUUUGUCUUGCCACCCAUCACCACAAUACCUGAGCACCUGUCCUGUGAAAAUAAAAGCAGCAGCAAAUCCCUAGUUGGAUGUCAAAGAAUUUCUGGCAGUUUGAGGGGGGACACACAGGUAAAAGCUCUGCAUAGGGUAGGGGUUUGUAUUUUGUGUUUGAAAAUGACUUUUCUAGAUUGUUUUUCAAGGUUAGGUUGUUAGGUGUGUUCCUUUUGGGUAGAUGGAGUUGAAAAGGGUGGUAGCAUUGGGGUGUUAUCAGGUUAGGUUAAAUGGAAACAAGGCAAGAGUGCAGGUACAUGGAGUAUUUUGGGUGAGCUGCUCUGGAAUAGCAGUGUGUGUAAAGUAGGUUACACAUUUUUACGGUCCAUUUAUUUGCCCAUCCAUGCAUAUACACCCCUCCUCCCAAUUGUAAGGUUUCCUGUCCAUACCUUGCUCCUCUCCUGACCUGUUUCCUCACUAAACUCUUGUCCAGAGAAAGAAAUACUAUGGCCAGGGGAAAUGGUACAGAGCCCAAAGGACAACUUCUAGGCCGGACUGCAGUCCCCAGGCUUGAACAUGCUCCCCUGUGUAUAGGUCCCUCAGCUCAGGUGAUCUUUACUGGGUUACACCAAAUGCUCUUCCCCUACCUGGGGUAGAUUUGCCCCAAGCCUGAGGGAGUAGAACAGGCAGGGGCUUGCAAGCAGGACUGAGCAUUAUCUCCUUGAGCUCUGGGGUAGAGCACAAUACCACUGCAGCUUCAUGUGCUCCCAUCUCAGGCACACCACCACCCUCUUCUUUCAUCCCUUCUCUAAAUCACACUAGAAAAGGACAAUUUGUCACAUCAAAACAAGGUCAGCCUUAAAAACCCUAGUGAACCCUGCUCCCCCCCUUACCCCCACUCCCUGGACCUUCCUUAGAGCUGUGAAGUACUCUGUCCUUCUGUCUGGGACACCCACACUGAUGACUACACAGGCCUUAUAUUAUUUUUGGGAAUGGGGGAUGGAGAAGAAACUCAUUCUUGUGACCAUGCUCAAAAAUAAACCCAGCAAUGUUUCAGGGCAGAUGUGUCCCCAGAGCACCCACAGGACAGACAGCAGUGAGUACCACUGCUGUCCAUUUGUGUCCACCCCUAUCAGCCAGAGGCAGAGGAGAUGCUCUUUUACAGACAGGAUCAAAACAAUGCUAGUAGGAAACAUGUUUUCCACGUGGCUCGGAGAUCAGACCCUGUUCCACCAGAUCAACAUAAUGCCAAAGGUGCUCUCAGGAAUCAGCAUCUCAUCAUACUAGCAUUAUCACUCAGGAGAGGAGGUGACACAGAGGGAGUAUGCUAGAAAAGUCAUCCUCCCUCAUGGGAGCUGGGUAUAGCUGAGUAGGGAGACCAUGCCAGAGUGGUGAUCCACCACCGAACUCAUUCCUUUGGGGCAUAUGGCUGCUUUUGAUUUCUUUAGCUUUUUUGCAGGAGCAUGACUGCAUCCCCUUAUCUAUCUGAAAUGCUUUAAAGAGCAGGGACUCACAGCUGAGACAGCUAGAGCUGCCUUCUGCGAUAUAUGCCCCCCCUCCCCCCCGCAUGCAUUCCUCUUUCCUAUGAUUUAAGCUACAUUCAACCGCAGCCUGACUACAAAAUACUGCCAAGUAACUAAUAAGCUUUGGUAAGAUUGGAUUUUCCCCUCACAGUAGAGAACAGGAACAGGAGCAAAUCCAAAUGAUUUAUCCUUGCAUUUCAAAGGGCUUUGACCUAGAAAAAUGCAAAAGGAAUCCCACAAGUGGCUGGAAAAAGCGUAUUCCCAUUUUAUAAAAAAAAUGUGCAUUAUCCCCCCUCAUCUUAGCUGUGCUGAUGCCAUUCACAAAAGCUGGAGUGGAUGGUCUCCCUUUCACUGGCUAAAGAUCAGCUCAGGGAGCUA